Molecule: ribosomal RNA, 986 nt
Filed under: Mycobacterium sp. L2B53
Lineage: Bacteria; Bacillati; Actinomycetota; Actinomycetes; Mycobacteriales; Mycobacteriaceae
Description: partial 16S ribosomal RNA
Rfam family: Bacterial small subunit ribosomal RNA
Source: RNAcentral
CUUGUUGGUGGGGUGAUGGNNUNNNNNNGNNACNACNGGUAGCCGGCCUGAGAGGGUGACCGGCCACNCUGGGACUGAGAUACGGCCCANACUCCUACGGGAGGCAGCAGUGGGGAAUAUUGCACAAUGGGCGCAAGCCUGAUGCAGCGACGCCGCGUGGGGGAUGACGGCCUUCGGGUUGUAAACCCCUUUCAGCACAGACGAAGCGCGAGUGACGGUAUGUGCAGAAGAAGGACCGGCCAACUACGUGCCAGCAGCCGCGGUAAUACGUAGGGUCCGAGCGUUGUCCGGAAUUACUGGGCGUAAAGAGCUCGUAGGUGGUUUGUCGCGUUGUUCGUGAAAACUCACAGCUCAACUGUGGGCGUGCGGGCGAUACGGGCAGACUAGAGUACUGCAGGGGAGACUGGAAUUCCUGGUGUAGCGGUGGAAUGCGCAGAUAUCAGGAGGAACACCGGUGGCGAAGGCGGGUCUCUGGGCAGUAACUGACGCUGAGGAGCGAAAGCGUGGGGAGCGAACAGGAUUAGAUACCCUGGUAGUCCACGCCGUAAACGGUGGGUACUAGGUGUGGGUUUCCUUCCUUGGGAUCCGUGCCGUAGCUAACGCAUUAAGUACCCCGCCUGGGGAGUACGGCCGCAAGGCUAAAACUCAAAGAAAUUGACGGGGGCCCGCACAAGCGGCGGAGCAUGUGGAUUAAUUCGAUGCAACGCGAAGAACCUUACCUGGGUUUGACAUGCACAGGACGUGCCUAGAGAUAGGUAUUCCCUUGUGGCCUGUGUGCAGGUGGUGCAUGGCUGUCGUCAGCUCGUGUCGUGAGAUGUUGGGUUAAGUCCCGCAACGAGCGCAACCCUUGUCUUAUGUUGCCAGCACGUGAUGGUGGGGACUCGUAAGAGACUGCCGGGGUCAACUCGGAGGAAGGUGGGGAUGACGUCAAGUCAUCAUGNCCNUUAUNUCCANGNNUUCACACNUGCUACAAUGGCCGGUACAAA